GAUGAACGCUAGCGGCAGGCUUAACACAUGCAAGUCGAGGGGCAGCACAGGUAGCAAUACUGGGUGGCGACCGGCGCAAGGGUGCGUAACGCGUGAGCAACAUGCCCGUAUCAGGGGGAUAAUCCAUGGAAACGUGGUCUAAUACCCCAUAGUAAGUUUUUGAGGCAUCUCGAAGAUUUUAAAGCUUUGGUGGAUACGGAUUGGCUCGCGUGACAUUAGCUGGAUGGUAGGGUAACGGCUUACCAUGGCUACGAUGUCUAGGGGUUCUGAGAGGAAGGUCCCCCACACUGGAACUGAGACACGGUCCAGACUCCUACGGGAGGCAGCAGUGAGGAAUAUUGGACAAUGGAUGGAAAUCUGAUCCAGCCAUGCCGCGUGCAGGAAGACGGCCCUAUGGGUUGUAAACUGCUUUUGUAUGGGAGCAAUAAGAUCUACGUGUAGAUUGAUGAGAGUACCAUACGAAUAAGCACCGGCUAACU
Molecule: ribosomal RNA, 479 nt
Filed under: uncultured bacterium
Lineage: Bacteria
Description: bacterial SSU rRNA
Rfam family: Bacterial small subunit ribosomal RNA
Source: RNAcentral